Molecule: long non-coding RNA, 75 nt
Organism: Etheostoma spectabile (orangethroat darter)
Lineage: Eukaryota; Metazoa; Chordata; Actinopteri; Perciformes; Percidae
Exons: 3
Source: RefSeq, a predicted model, not a curated record
GUCAAAUAAAAAGCUCUGUCAGGAGGACGUGGUAAAGAGGCGGCGUCGUGUCUAACGCGGGCCCUGCGCUCCCUG